This 194-nucleotide non-coding RNA is filed under the name Paraclostridium sordellii. Its description in RNAcentral is "Paeniclostridium sordellii T-box sequence". It matches the Rfam family "T-box leader". Rfam says of the family: Uncharged tRNA acts as the effector for transcription antitermination of genes in the T-box leader family. T-boxes are found upstream of many aminoacyl-tRNA synthetase genes and some amino acid biosynthetic genes usually in Gram-positive bacteria. Lineage: Bacteria; Bacillati; Bacillota; Clostridia; Peptostreptococcales; Peptostreptococcaceae. The record is from RNAcentral.
AUUAAAAUAGACUAGAGUAGUAAAAUUAAAUCUUUAUUUCAGAGAGCUAGUGGAAGGUGUGAACUAGUAUAAAGCUAAUUUGAACUUGCUAGAUAAAAUCUAUUUGACCGUGGUUGGUAUAAAGACUAGUACAAGAGGGUUAUUAUAAAAUAACCAAUUAGGGUGGUACCGCGAGUAAUAUCCUCGUCCCUAGA